RNAcentral lists this unclassified non-coding RNA (332 nucleotides) under soil metagenome. RNAcentral's name for it is "partial contains 5.8S ribosomal RNA, internal transcribed spacer 2, and large subunit ribosomal RNA". The stretch from base 1 to 120 matches the Rfam family "5.8S ribosomal RNA", at positions 35 to 154 of the family's 154-position model. The record is from RNAcentral.
GAUGAAGAACGCAGCAAAAUGCGAUAAGUAAUGUGAAUUGCAGAAUUCAGUGAAUCAUCGAAUCUUUGAACGCACAUUGCGCCCGCCAGUAUUCUGGCGGGCAUGCCUGUUCGAGCGUCAUUUCAACCCUCAAGCACAGCUUGGUGUUGGGACUCGCGUUAAUUCGCGUUCCCCAAAUUGAUUGGCGGUCACGUCGAGCUUCCAUAGCGUAGUAGUAAAACCCUCGUUACUGGUAAUCGUCGCGGCCACGCCGUUAAACCCCAACUUCUGAAUGUUGACCUCGGAUCAGGCAGGAAUACCCGCUGAACUUAAGCAUAUCAAUAAGCGGAGGA